UCUCCUUUCUCUAAUCAGUGAAACUGAUCUUCCCGUGAAGAAGCGGGAAUUAAUUUAUAAGACGAGAAGACCCCAUGGAGCUUUAAACCCAAUUACAUCCCUAUAUUUUAUUCCCUUUUAAUCUUUAAGGCCCUGUAUAUCUGGUUUUAGGUUGGGGUGACCGCGGAGCACAAAUAAGCCUCCACGAUGAAUGGAAUUAUCCCCUUAUCUAAGAACUACACUUCUAAGAAUUAAUAUUUUAACAUUUAAUGAUCCAAUAAUUGAUCAACGAACCAAGUUACCCUGGGGAUAACAGCGCAAUCCACUUCAAGAGCUCCUAUCGACAAGUGGGUU
RNAcentral lists this ribosomal RNA (333 nucleotides) under Blommersia dejongi. Its description in RNAcentral is "partial 16S ribosomal RNA". It matches the Rfam family "Bacterial large subunit ribosomal RNA", at positions 2019 to 2518 of the family's 2925-position model. The record is from RNAcentral. Lineage: Eukaryota; Metazoa; Chordata; Amphibia; Anura; Mantellidae.